RNAcentral lists this ribosomal RNA (936 nucleotides) under Escherichia coli. RNAcentral's name for it is "bacterial SSU rRNA". It matches the Rfam family "Bacterial small subunit ribosomal RNA", at positions 45 to 965 of the family's 1533-position model. The record is from RNAcentral. Lineage: Bacteria; Pseudomonadati; Pseudomonadota; Gammaproteobacteria; Enterobacterales; Enterobacteriaceae.
GGCUACACAUGCAAUCGAACGGUAACAGGAAGCAGCUUGCUCUUCGCUGACGAGUGGCGGACGGGUGAGUAAUGUCUGGGAAACUGCCUGAUGGAGGGGGAUAACUACUGGAAACGGUAGCUAAUACCGCAUAACGUCGCAAGACCAAAGAGGGGGACCUUCGGGCCUCUUGCCAUCGGAUGUGCCCAGAUGGGAUUAGCUAGUAGGUGGGGUAACGGCUCACCUAGGCGACGAUCCCUAGCUGGUCUGAGAGGAUGACCAGCCACACUGGAACUGAGACACGGUCCAGACUCCUACGGGAGGCAGCAGUGGGGAAUAUUGCACAAUGGGCGCAAGCCUGAUGCAGCCAUGCCGCGUGUAUGAAGAAGGCCUUCGGGUUGUAAAGUACUUUCAGCGGGGAGGAAGGGAGUAAAGUUAAUACCUUUGCUCAUUGACGUUACCCGCAGAAGAAGCACCGGCUAACUCCGUGCCAGCAGCCGCGGUAAUACGGAGGGUGCAAGCGUUAAUCGGAAUUACUGGGCGUAAAGCGCACGCAGGCGGUUUGUUAAGUCAGAUGUGAAAUCCCCGGGCUCAACCUGGGAACUGCAUCUGAUACUGGCAAGCUUGAGUCUCGUAGAGGGGGGUAGAAUUCCAGGUGUAGCGGUGAAAUGCGUAGAGAUCUGGGGAAUACCGGUGGCGAAGGCGGCCCCCUGGACGAAGACUGACGCUCAUGUGCGAAAGCGUGCGGAGCAAACAUGAUUAUAUACCCUGGUAAUCCACGCCAUAUACGAUGUCGACUUGGAGGUUGUGCCCUUGAUGCGUGGCUUCCGAGCUAAGGCUUUAAGUCGACCGCCUGGGGAAUACGGCCGAGGGUUAGAACUCAGAUGAAUUAGGGGGCCCUCAGAAGCUUGGAGCAGUUUAAUUCAAUGCACUGCUUACCUGUCUGGCGAGUUAGAA